GACGAACGCUGGCGGCGUGCUUAACACAUGCAAGUCGGACGGAAAGGCCCUGCUUUUGUGGGGUGCUCGAGUGGCGAACGGGUGAGUAACACGUGAGUAACCUGCCCUUGACUUUGGGAUAACUUCAGGAAACUGGGGCUAAUACCGGAUAGGAGCUCCUGCUGCAUGGUGGGGGUUGGAAAGUUUCGGCGGUUGGGGAUGGACUCGCGGCUUAUCAGCUUGUUGGUGGGGUAGUGGCUUACCAAGGCUUUGACGGGUAGCCGGCCUGAGAGGGUGACCGGCGACAUUGGGACUGAGAUACGGCCCAGACUCCUACGGGAGGCAGCAGUGGGGAAUAUUGCACAAUGGGCGGAAGCCUGAUGCAGCAACGCCGCGUGCGGGAUGACGGCCUUCGGGUUGUAAACCGCUUUCGCCUGUGACGAAGCGUGAGUGACGGUAAUGGGUAAAGAAGCGCCGGCUAACUACGUG
This 468-nucleotide ribosomal RNA is filed under the name uncultured bacterium. RNAcentral's name for it is "partial 16S ribosomal RNA". It matches the Rfam family "Bacterial small subunit ribosomal RNA", at positions 28 to 507 of the family's 1533-position model. The record is from RNAcentral.